Cornus florida is the source of this 2688-nucleotide long non-coding RNA. RefSeq lists it as uncharacterized. The record is from RefSeq and is a predicted model, not a curated record. The transcript has 2 exons. Lineage: Eukaryota; Viridiplantae; Streptophyta; Magnoliopsida; Cornales; Cornaceae.
ACUCUCUAAAGACUAUCCCAACUUAGCUAGCUCGUGGGGUCACUAAAGUCAAAAUUCGUUGUACAUUUAUGAAGAAAUAACUUUGAAGAUAACUUAUCUACAAAGUUGGUGUGCUCAAGUAAAUACCCUAGUCAAUUUUAACAUUUUCCUCUAAAGCUGCUUGGUUCAUAUAUUUGGUUACUUUUUUUUUUUUUUAAAUGUGCUAGAUAAGCAUCAAGGGGUGGUUGGAGGUGGAUUACUUAUAAAGUUAGAUUAUCAUAGAAUGGUCUAGAAAUUAGACAAAAAAAAAAAAAAAAAAGGGAGAUGAAGGGUUGUUUCUUAGACACAUUUAUGUAGGAUCACAUCAUGGCAUCGUCAUCUUCUUCUUCUUCUUUUUUUUCUUUUUUUUUUUUUUUUGUCUCAUUUGUAAUAAUUUUUUUCUGUAUAGGGCUCGAACCUUCGACCAUGAGAUUGAGUGUUUAGACCCAAACCCACUAGGACAGAGGUAGACCGGUUAGUCUCAUUUAUUUCUGUCAACUAAGUUAUUCACCAUCUAUAAUUAUUUUUAACCAUUUUGCCUAAAGUUGCAGCAUUUGUCCCACUAAGCUCACUGCUCAGGUACUUGAGUUACCAGUUUCUCUUAAAUGUGCUAGAUAAGCAUCGUGAUAUGUGGAGCUGAAUUACAUAGAGAGUUAAGGGUGCACACAGAACAAAUUAGACAUAAAAUUUAAUCCAAUCCUAUAUUAGUCUUAAACCGAUCCGAUCCAAUCCGUGAAACAUUGGAUUGGCUUUACAGAUUGGUCUUUUUAUAAAUGGUCCAAUAAUUUUUUCUUUUAGACUAAUGUGAGAUUGAGAUAACAUAAUCCAAACAUAGCCCUAGUUGAUGGUUUGUAAUGAUCCAUAAAAAAUGUUGCCAUGGCAUGCUUUUUGGCUACUCAGAUUGUUACUCUUCACUUAUUGAUCACAUGACAUUGUAGAAGCUUUUUUGUUCUGCAGUCAUGCAAAUAGUAUUGUUGAUGAAAUUGCAACUACAAUAGCAAAUUGUACCCUUUUCAACUACAUAUAAAGGUAGCUAAUAAUGAACUAAAAAAAGGCAACAGAUCAAUGUCUAGUUUAUAUAUUACAGGAGCAAGAAAUCAAUAGUAAAGAAAGAAAUUAGAUUAAGCUAGGUUUAGGGUUAAAAAGAGUGUCAUAUAUAUGUACUAGUUAUAUAUAUUAUAUAGGUUAUGGAUGAAUUGAAUUCACAGAUCGGAUUGGUUUUUUUGAGACCUAAAUUCGUGAACUGAUGUUAUCCAUGCAGAUUACUUAUUUAUGAAUCCACCAUCGAACCAAUUGACUAAAAACUAAUUUAAAACGCACGUAUCAGACUGAGUUGGAUUGGAUUCAUGGAUCAAAUGAACACUCUUAAUAGAGUUAGAUUAUCAUAGAAUGGUAUAGAAAUUAGACAAAAAUGAAGUUAGUAUGGGAGGCACAAUGAGCAUGAACAAAUCUAGGUCUAGUCUAUUAAGUGGGGAGAAGCUACCUCGUGGGUCAGUCAAAUUCUUUUGUACAUUUAUGGUGAAAUAACUUAAAAGAUGAUUUUCCUGCAAAACUAUCAUUAAAAGAGCAUUUAUUUUGAAACUGCCCUUGAUUUUGUGAAUCCCUUAAAAUUAUUUUUCAAAGAGUAAUAAUACACAAGUAAAUCCACUUGAAUUAAAAUUCUUAAAAAUGCCAUCAUCUGAGUUUUUUUGGGGUAAGUAAGAUAAUUCAUAAAUGUUAAAGUGUAUACAUAUAGAAACUUGGCCCAUUUGGGCAACAGAUCAAAAACAAAAAAAAGCAAAAGGAAGCCAAGUGAAAACACCAAGGCAUAGAAAAUAGGCCCAAGCUAGAAGCCCAAAUAGGCCAUUGCGGGAGCAUCAACAUUCAUACAUUGAAAGUAUCAGAGAGGGUUCUAUAAGGCAGCUAAGAAAAGGAGAAAAAAGGGUUUGUCAAGUUUGGCUCAAAGGAGGGGGAAGGUCAUUUGCUAUAGUCAUAAGAGCAUUCACAUUUCUUGAUGUUGAAUAUCCGUAACCUCACCGAAUCGAUUGUCAAGUUCAGAAUCUUCAAUGGAACAGUUAAUUUGUUCCUGAAGAUGCGAUUGUUUCCCUCCUUCCAUAUGUGAUAGACAAAACUUGCUAAACCUUGAGACAUAAGAAGCAAACAUUUGGUUGCAUGGUGAAGUGGAGGGAUGGUUUGUCACCAGAGGCAAAAUGAUUUUUGUACCUGAUCAUUGAAGUUGCUACUUGGAUUUGUCACUCAAUCAAGCUACCGAAAUCAUUCAACAACCAGAAUUAGCUGAAGUAAGAAGCGGAUCGUGAUUGCAUUGCCGUGGAUCAUUGUAGGUGAUAAGUUUGAAGGCACAGGAAUCGAAGGCACGAGUAAAAGAUAAUCAAAGACAAGUAAUUCUGAAACUCUUGAUUCUAAGGCCUGAGUAUUCUGGAAUCUCUGCGAGUAUUCUGCGUACUCACACUUGGUAUAAGAGCAGGUUGCUCUAAAUCCUGAGCAAGAUUUCAGUACUUUUUUUUUUCAAAAUUCUUUUGAAAAGUUAUGUUAUUGAAAAAUUGUGGAUUCUCCUAGAAAGGGUGGAUGGAUAGGUGUGGAUAAAAUUUUGUGCUUUGUGGAAUGAUUAAGAAUUGACUUUGGCUAAUGUUAAUUCUAAAGCAUGAAAUGUUAAUUUUUAACGUUGUGUCA